GAAAAGACCACUUAUUGAAUUGCCUGAAGCAGCACUCUGCUCGUUAAACUCACCACGGUCAUAGCUAAGACAUCAGGAUUUUUCUGUGCUGACAGUCUUUUUCACUCUUCCAUCAGCUUACAUCAACACCUUUAACCCAUGAUGUCCCCCACAUUUUCUCAAAAUUGUGAUCACACAGUGAAGAACAUGGGGCACAGCUGGAAUUCACACCAGAAUCGCAGAUUUAAGGCUUUUACACUUCAGGGCCUUUACCUCGGAGCAUAUGUCAUUACUGGAAAUUGUGAUCAUACCCCCACUGAAAAAGGGAUUUAGGUGGAGUCCUUCAAGCAUCAGUUGGUCUCAAGAAUCUCUCAGAACCACUGUGAUUGGAGUCAUGAGGUCAAAAAUGGGUCUCAGAGGCAAAAGAAAACCAGUUCAGUGGAGUGACAGCGAGACAAUAGAAAGGAACCCCUGCCACUUAAAGUGUGAAGCUUUCUGAACGCUGUGGCAAGUCCGUGUCUAGUACCCACAGUGCUCGUUUCUCUUCUUUCUCCCAGUCCUACUCAGCAUCCCACUCUCCGCAGGCAAUUCAAUUACCGCCCGUGAAAAUUACAGGCGCUUUCAUUUAGAAAACGCAGCCGAGGCAACUCAUAAGGACCCUCUCUUCCCCAAUCUCCCCCAAUUAGCCUGCUAAUGCGGCGGUUUGUCAUGGUUUGGAGCCGCCGAAAGGAUAUGUGAAGAAUAGAACCGUGCUUCUGAGGGAGGGAAGAUGACACCGAACGAAUUGGGUGGAGUGUGUGAGAAUGAAGAGAGCAGAGGCGGCAGAGAGUAACGCGGUCAGUGAGGCUGUCGCUGUGUGCUGGGGUGUAGUGAGCAAGAAAAAAUGUUUUUAACACACGGUUCAAAUGCUCUUUUAUCAAAGAAUGCCGGCAUCUGCACAGCUGAGUGACUGAUCUGUCUCAGCAUUACACAGGCUCUUGAGUUUUCAACACCUACAGUUUAUUUCAAUAGAGCAUAUCAUUUAUACUUACACGAACCCACCAAAAGUACUGGGAUUCUCCCUACUUGCAAAUAAAGUGAAUUUAAAAAUCUGACCAUUGCUUUCGCAUUAAGGAAGCUUGUUGGGUUUGCCAGGGGUAUUUCUCGUUAUGACAGCAGAAAAUGUCACAAAGUAACUUGAUUGAAGGGGUGAUUGCAGGUUGUCAUUUUCUCCACAUGUCAGUACUUACCAUUUCAAUGCAGCUGAAAAUUUCUGAAGUGAUGUUUCUAGAAAUGGGAAGGUUACUACACAGAAUCAAAAAACAACUCCCCAUGCCUGAGAGUGGGUCUCCCGCAUCUGAUGUUAUCAGAAACUAGUGCAGAGGGAAGAAAGAGUGCACUUCUGCGCUAUUUGUAGUUACAUGACUCAUUUGAUGCAAUGAGAGCAGGUAACUUAUUUCAUAACAGAGAAUGGAAUCUGUGCUCCCAUACAGGAAAAUAUUUAAGGCUAGUACAACCAACAUGAACAACGAUCCCAAUUUCUGUGUAUUCGUUUAUACGACACCCAUUGAAAGAUCAGUGACAGCAUACACGGGGUGCAAGCACGCAUGUCG
Electrophorus electricus (electric eel) is the source of this 1571-nucleotide non-coding RNA. NCBI's taxonomy places the organism in Eukaryota, Metazoa, Chordata, Actinopteri, Gymnotiformes, Gymnotidae. The record is from RefSeq and is a predicted model, not a curated record.